GACUAGAUAGCUCAGUGGUAAAGCUGCUAGUACAUGUCCAGGAGGUCCUGGGUUCAAUCCCCAAUCUGGCCA
Molecule: non-coding RNA, 72 nt
Organism: Dendrothele bispora CBS 962.96
Lineage: Eukaryota; Fungi; Basidiomycota; Agaricomycetes; Agaricales
Source: the annotation of a GenBank genome assembly